GACGAACGCUGGCGGCGUGCCUAAUACAUGCAAGUAGAACGCACAGUUUAUACCGUAGCUUGCUACACCAUACACUGUGAGUUGCGAACGGGUGAGUAACGCGUAGGUAACCUGCCUGGUAGCGGGGGAUAACUAUUGGAAACGAUAGCUAAUACCGCAUAAUAUUGAUUAUUGCAUGAUAAUUGAUUGAAAGAUGCUAUUGCAUCACUACCAGAUGGACCUGCGUUGUAUUAGCUAGUAGGUGAGGUAACGGCUCACCUAAGCGACGAUACAUAGCCGACCUGAGAGGGUGAUCGGCCACACUGGGACUGAGACACGGCCCAGACUCCUACGGGAGGCAGCAGUAGGGAAUCUUCGGCAAUGGACGAAAGUCUGACCGAGCAACGCCGCGGGAGUGAAGAAGGGUUUCGGAUCGUAAAGCUCUGUUGUAAGAGAAGAACGGGUGUGAGAGUGGAAAGUUCACACUGUGACGGUAUCUUACCAGAAAGGGACGGCUAACUACGUG
Molecule: ribosomal RNA, 505 nt
Filed under: uncultured bacterium
Lineage: Bacteria
Description: partial 16S ribosomal RNA
Rfam family: Bacterial small subunit ribosomal RNA
Source: RNAcentral